UCCGUAACACUUAUCAUUUCACCGUGUUAUGUCAGUGGCAUCAUGACCUGCAUAAAGGAAAUAUUCUAUAUAAGCCCGCGCGUAAAAGUCGCUCGCUUGGUCGAUGCAGCUUUCACCUCCUGCAGAUGUAGUGAGACAGGAAUCCAGCGGACUUCCAAUAGUUCAUCACAGCGCGUAUGUGUGUGACCCGCCCCCGAGCCACAGGUUGCCAGUGAGCACGUUUCCAGGGUUUUACACUUUUUAAUCAAAGACCAAGUCAUCAGACCCUCAUUGUGAAAAUGAAGUCGGGAGGCUCCGUCUGACUGACCAAGGUGUGGAAUGUGAAACCUUUAUCCGCUGAAUCAAGAGGACCCUCGUAGCCUAACUGAUAUUUGGUUCUCAGGAGCCAAUGACAUUGAUGUGGGAAUAAAAAAAUCUGGUUAGAUAUGAACUGAUUAUUUAUAUAUUUAUAUGCUGGACAUACAAAUACAGUUACACUUUUAUCAUAAAUGACAACUAACAAUUUGGAGACAGUGGAUUCCUAACAGAUUAAUCAUCUGGUCAGAGUAUCUGUAGAAUACUGUAAUUGCUGGACCAAAUCUGUAAUGAUAGGUAUCAAGAUUAACUCCUGUCUGUGGUACUAGAUGUUGGCUGAAGAGUGACACAAGAAGACGUUCAUGAUGUUUACUUCCACUUCCACUGUAUCAGUACUUACUUCAUUGUUUCUGUACGCUUUGUGGUAUCAAU
Molecule: long non-coding RNA, 726 nt
Organism: Monopterus albus (swamp eel)
Lineage: Eukaryota; Metazoa; Chordata; Actinopteri; Synbranchiformes; Synbranchidae
Exons: 3
Source: RefSeq, a predicted model, not a curated record